RNAcentral lists this long non-coding RNA (359 nucleotides) under Triticum aestivum (bread wheat). Its description in RNAcentral is "long non-coding RNA (TAES_LNC007870)". Lineage: Eukaryota; Viridiplantae; Streptophyta; Magnoliopsida; Poales; Poaceae. The record is from RNAcentral.
AGGCAGCCGAGGAGAAGUUGGGAACUCAGCUGGAGAUCCUGGCCCCUAUCAAAUACUAAGAGAUAUCAGAGCUUUCGUGCGCCAUCAGUUUUGGGAAACCUCUGUCGUAUUUUAAGUAGUUUGGUAACUCUGAUAGUACAAUCUGGUUGGUAAACCUUUGUUAUGCAUGCAGUUCUGCGACACUCAUUUGAAAUUUUCUACAUGGUGAACUGUUUCGUUUAUCAAAUGUGUGCAUUUGGGAAUUCUAGUGAACGUCUAUCAGGUGCCUUGCUGUUUUUCUCUUUACUACGGCCUUUGCAGUCCCUUGUUAUGACCCUUUGUACAUGUCGUUUGCGGCCAUCAUAGUCGUCUCUACGCCA